AAGUCGUAACAAGGUUUCCGUAGGUGAACCUGCGGAAGGAUCAUUAACACUGAACCUUCAAUGUGCUCGUACACUUUGUCAAAGCGAGGCAAUCCCUGGUAAAUCAUCGCCGAACAGUUUUGAUUCUGGGACUUCCUCAAAGAGUGUGCAUGUUGCGCGAGGCAAGUGGCCUGGCAUUCCCAAGCAGUUAAUGUCUGAAAGUGUCAUUAGAUGUGUAAGGAUGACGCAGUAACGAUCGUUGGAGGCCGACACGGCCGACGACCGGGUCACCGGGCGCAAGCCCCUUUAUCACCACUUAAUGCAUGACAGACGCGCCAGCGCUUAAUUGUGCGGCGACCAAAAACUGAACAACUGUUAACAAUGGAUAUCUUGGUUCUC
Molecule: unclassified non-coding RNA, 378 nt
Filed under: fungal sp.
Lineage: Eukaryota; Fungi
Description: partial internal transcribed spacer region
Rfam family: Eukaryotic small subunit ribosomal RNA (bases 1-46)
Source: RNAcentral